GAUGGGGUCGUUUAGUCUGUAUUCAGACCCGAUGUUUUCUUCACAGGAGAUAAUAAUACAAAUGCUGUAUAAUUAUGCACGCCUUAGAUAAUAUAAGAGUUAAGAGAGGAGGUACUGAGAACAAGUAAAAGCGAAAAAGUAGAACUUUAACAAGAAAUAACAUUAAAAAAACAAUGUUAACAUUAAACGUUGUGCAAGCAGUUUAUAGUAUGAUUGCUAAAAACGUGCUACAUUUUUGACUCCGUCUUAGUUGCAGUUGAAAUAUCUUGAACGUUCACUAAGCUGGUACAUCGUAGAAUUAUAUGCAGUGUAAUGAUAUGAAGUAAACUGAGUGUACUAAAUUUCUGUGUAUUUGACUGCAUUUCCUGUAAUUUACCGACUGCCUGGUCCGGUAUCUAGACAUUGCAUUAGUUACGGUAUACAUGUAGCUCUAGGAACGCUAACACUCGUUGUUUAAAUAUUUCUAUGAAUGUGUAAGACAUUUAUAAUAUUAAGAACAGGUGUCAGUGUGAUGAGAACGUUUUUGAUAAUAUAGUCGGAUAAUAUAUUCGUGAUACACUUUAUCUUAUUGAGAAGUUACUAAACAAUGAUGUUGUGAUCGGCGGGAAAAUAAUUAUUUGCGAUGUCUAAAAUUGAAUGGGAUUGAUUAAAAGAACAAAAGAACAAUACUGGAAAAGCUGAUGACUGUGACAAAAGGCGCUAAUCGAAGAAAAAAAAAUAUCAGAGACGAACAAUUACACAUGAAUAAGAUAUACAUGAUCAAGAGAAGAACUAAUAUACAUGCAUAACAUCCCAGGUCAAAUAUUGAACAAGGAUCAGAAGAAAGAAUAGAUUUAGACAUUUGUGAAAGGAACAAUGGAAACUUUGGAAGUUUACUCUUCCUGAAACGUAUAACUACAACAAAGAUGUGAUCAUUGUAUUAGAAACUGAAUUUCCCAGUCUUCUAGUGGUUUAACUAGCUUACCAAGGCAUAUACCUUCAUGAUUUAUGCACUUAUCUUUUUCAUGUUUUUUUUUUCUUUUUAUAUUGUAUCUUAUCGAAGUAGCAUUGAAAACAACGGGAAUAUAUAAAUAUUUAAGAGAAAGUUACUACAUUUUGUACUUGGAAUAACUUAUUUUGAUAAAGAGAAGAUACGACGUUUGAUUGAUUCUGAUAUAAGCACAUUUGUAUUUGUUAUUGAUAUCUAUUUUGAUGGAAUAUAAUGGAAUUGAGAUACAUCGGUUGGACAAGCGAUGCAACCUUGACUCAGCCCAUAUGUUUACUCGUAUAGCUUACCUUUUUGAUCUUAUUUAAAAUUCCUAUUUAAAUAAAAACUAUUUAUUUGUUUUUAUUGGAUUGUUCGACAAAGAUUAGAUAUCAGAAAUGUAUAGCUAUGUUUCUUACGAAGCUUUUAAACUUAGCUACUUACAGAUUAUAUGUAUGGUAACACUUAAGAAUUAGUUACUUUAACUAUGUUUUCCAUUUUAAAAUUAGAAAGCAUUUGUAACGGGUAUCAGGUGUAAACUGUCUCAGUUAUAAAGCUUUGUAUAAGCGGUUGUUAAGUAAGACUAUAUAUUGGUCAAAAUAGUAGGAAAGCUUUUACUUGCGAGGAAACCCGUGUUCGAUUUUUCAGUCGGACAUAUUUUUUGUUGAUUAAGCAUUUUUAAAAUAGUUUAAAAACAAAAGAUAAUGUUCUAAUACUUAUAAUGUGACAAACUUUCAAGAAGGAUCAUUCUUAGCCCAAAAUCUGGAGUCCAGGUGUUUUUUUUAUUUCUUAUUAUACAUUUCUCUGUAAACCUAUUGAAUUUCUUCUAAAUUGCAUACUUUUACCCUUUAUAAUAAAUACGUUAUUAUUAUUUUGAGUAAGCAUGUAGCUGUUUGGGCAUCAAAGCGUAUAUAUCAACAAACACUAAAUAUUAACAGAUAAAAGUGAAAAAUGUGAAUUGAAACAUUCGCUUUUAUCUUAAUUUAAUAGAUAAAAGAAAAUUAUAAGGGGAUUCAAACCAGGAACUAAAGAACUAAGAAAUUCUACACGGUCGGGUAGGCAUAACGCUUUACCACAUGGCCGAUCAGUCAGUAAAUAGUAUGUAAAUAUUUUUCAUUAACUGUGUGGUUCACCUUGCUCAAAUGACAGGUUAUCCCUAUCAAAAUUUCUAGUUUUAUGCAUGUGCAGGCUUUUCAUUUAUUUUGCAAAUAAGUUAUAAUUUAUAUACAUACACAAGAUACUGGAAAAAAUUAUCAGCCGCGGAUAGGGUAGUAUUG
Mercenaria mercenaria is the source of this 2241-nucleotide long non-coding RNA. RefSeq lists it as uncharacterized. The record is from RefSeq and is a predicted model, not a curated record. The transcript is spliced from 3 exons. Lineage: Eukaryota; Metazoa; Mollusca; Bivalvia; Venerida; Veneridae.